This 400-nucleotide ribosomal RNA is filed under the name uncultured bacterium. RNAcentral describes it as "bacterial SSU rRNA". It matches the Rfam family "Bacterial small subunit ribosomal RNA", at positions 355 to 747 of the family's 1533-position model. The record is from RNAcentral.
UGGGGAAUAUUGGACAAUGGGCGCAAGCCUGAUCCAGCCAUGCCGCGUGUGUGAAGAAGGCCUUCGGGUUGUAAAGCACUUUCAGUUGGGAGGAAGGGUUGUGUGUUAAUAGUACACAGCCUUGACGUUACCAACAGAAGAAGCACCGGCUAACUCUGUGCCAGCAGCCGCGGUAAUACAGAGGGUGCAAGCGUUAAUCGGAAUUACUGGGCGUAAAGCGCACGUAGGCGGUUUUUUAAGUCAGAUGUGAAAGCCCCGGGCUCAACCUGGGAAUUGCAUUUGAAACUGGAAAACUAGAGUGUGUGAGAGGGGGGUAGAAUUCCAAGUGUAGCGGUGAAAUGCGUAGAGAUCUGGAGGAAUACCGAUGGCGAAGGCAGCCAUCUGGCCUAAUACUGACGCU